UUGAAUGUGAUGGAGCAUCAAUGCCU
This 26-nucleotide non-coding RNA is filed under the name Mus musculus (house mouse). Lineage: Eukaryota; Metazoa; Chordata; Mammalia; Rodentia; Muridae. The record is from RNAcentral. RNAcentral also lists the same sequence under 1 other name.